CCUAGGGUGGGCUGCAGUGGGGAAUAUUGGACAAUGGGCGAAAGCCUGAUCCAGCCAUGCCGCGUGUGUGAAGAAGGCCUUCGGGUUGUAAAGCACUUUCAGUGGGGAAGAAAGCCUUGGGGCUAAUACCCUCGAGGAAGGACAUCACCCACAGAAGAAGCACCGGCUAACUCCGUGCCAGCAGCCGCGGUAAUACGGAGGGUGCGAGCGUUAAUCGGAAUUACUGGGCGUAAAGCGCGCGUAGGCGGUCUGAUAAGCCGGUUGUGAAAGCCCCGGGCUCAACCUGGGAACGGCAUCCGGAACUGUCAGGCUAGAGUGCAGGAGAGGAAGGUAGAAUUCCGGUGUAGCGGUGAAAUGCGUAGAGAUCGGGAGGAAUACCAGUGGCGAAGGCGGCCUUCUGGACUGACACUGACGCUGAGGUGCGAAAGCGUGGGUAGCAAACAGGAUUAGAUACCCUAGUAGUC
Molecule: ribosomal RNA, 464 nt
Filed under: Vreelandella stevensii
Lineage: Bacteria; Pseudomonadati; Pseudomonadota; Gammaproteobacteria; Oceanospirillales; Halomonadaceae
Description: partial 16S ribosomal RNA
Rfam family: Bacterial small subunit ribosomal RNA
Source: RNAcentral